Molecule: ribosomal RNA, 430 nt
Filed under: Amborella trichopoda
Lineage: Eukaryota; Viridiplantae; Streptophyta; Magnoliopsida; Amborellales; Amborellaceae
Description: rRNA LSU_rRNA_eukarya
Rfam family: Eukaryotic large subunit ribosomal RNA
Source: RNAcentral
GAUAGUAGCAAAUAUUCAAAUGAGAACUUUGAAGGCCGAAGUGGGGAAAGGUUCCAUGUGAACGGCACUUGCACAUGGGUUAGUUGAUCUUAAGAGUGGGGAGUAGCCUGUCCGAGAGCGCUGCUAGCGCAAGCUUCGAAAGGGAAUCUGGUUAAAAUUCCUGAACCGGGACGUGGCGGUGGACGACAACGUUAGGGAGUCCGGAGACGUCUUCGGGGGCCUCGGGAAGAGUUAUCUCUUCUGUUUAACAGCCUGCCCACCCUGGAAACAGCUCAGCUGGAGGUAGGGUCCAACGGCUGGAAGAGCACCGCACGUCCAGUGGUGUUCGAUGUGCCCCCGAUGGCUCGUGAAAAUCCAGAGGAGAGAGUGCCGCCCACGCCCGAUCGUACUCAUAACCGCAUCAGGUCUCCAAGGUGAACAACCUCUGGUC